Molecule: long non-coding RNA, 3638 nt
Filed under: Capsicum annuum
Lineage: Eukaryota; Viridiplantae; Streptophyta; Magnoliopsida; Solanales; Solanaceae
Description: long non-coding RNA (CANN_LNC010105)
Source: RNAcentral
GGAUUCGAUGUGAUAAACUCUUUUUGAGAUGUGUUUAAGAGGGCAUGAAGAGUCCCCACCUAAUGUAUUAAGGUGCGUUGGGACACCAUUCUAGGCUAACUACGAACCUACUUUGUUAUUUUGUCUUAGUUCACCAGAAAUUUGGGUAAGGGUUCAAAUAACCUCGAAAGGAAGGUGUUAGGCACCUUUUGAGGUCCAUAAAGGUAGUUCCUGAUCGAAUUUGUACUUUACACAGGGAUUCUACGUGAUCAAAUAGAGGUCGCUUAUUUUAUUAUUAACUUAAUGUUAACUAAGUGCGAAAACAUGAAUAAACAAAACAUGUAAUUUAAUUCUUUUAACUAUCAAUUACCUAUGUGAUAAAAUCAAUCAAAUAUAGAAAUAAGACAAGCGAGGAGAGAAGCGACAUAAUUUAUAACAAAAGGGACUGCUUAUUAAACUAACUACCCCAAAUAAAUAAACAUAUAAAGUAAAUGUAAGAAAAAGAAAAAAAUUCAAAAAAUCAAACAAAGGAUUAUUUUGGUUUCAUUCGGAUCCGAACUCCAACUUGUUAAUCAUUAUCCGAUUCAUUAGCUAGUAGUCGAAUUCUUAGACAAGUGACAAUGUCAUACGUCAUGUAAUAUAUGUUGGGUAUCAUCACUUCUGAAUGACUGCCCAUUCACCCCCCACCUAGGCUGGUUGUCAAACCUAAAAGUGUUCUAAAAAGAAAGGAUAAAACUAAUGCCUCUAGAAUGCCUAUUGUCCCAACCUAUCAUCCAAGAGGCAUUGAACUUUACUAUUUUGAAUUUGUGGGCAAAACAAAUAAAGCUAGAUUUCCUAGUUGGACUCAAAGCGUUUAAACAUAUCGGACAAGAAGUAGCACAUAAUGAUCUCAAUUAAGCCUCUUGAUUGAUUAAGAAGUUGUUAAGGUGAUUAAUAUGCUUAGACUAACAAAUUGCUAAUUUAUUGCUUAGUUAAACCAUAAACAUGAAAUCUAAGUGUCAUGCCAUUGUUUAUUGACGAGGAGUAAUUGUCAAAACAUUUAGAACAACAUUGUAAAUUUGUUAAGAAUAAAAGGCAUGUCAAAGUAAAGAAAAUAUGAUAGAAAGUUAUGCUCAUUAAUUUUAUUAUACGAAAACAUGUUGGAAAUUAGAUUAGACUGCUAGAAAUUUAGUUAAUAUCCUGAAAAUCAUGUUUCAGGUGCUGAAAGUUGAUUUCAUAUUGAUGGAAAUUACUAUCGUUAAUUUUUAAUGCUGAAAAGUGAUUUUAGUAAGCAAAAAAUCUCAUUGUAUAUACAGGAAAAUAAUUUUAGAGGCUAAGAACUAUUUUAAAAUAUGCUGAAAAUUAAUUUUUAAUGUUGAAAAGUGAAUUGUAUUGCUGAAAAUUAUUAAAACAUACUAACACUUCAUUUUUAACUUGCAAAACGAAUGAUUUCAUGCUACCGAAAAAUUAAAACAAAACAUGUCGGAAACAAAUUGCUUUCUAAGAAAAAUUGUUUUACAUCGAGAAUUAUAUUACGAAAAACGGCGGUACAUAAGAUACUGAAAUCAGUGACUAUGUCGAAAACUAAGUAAAACAUAUCGCAAUUAAUUUAAACCACAAGUUAAUUGAUUACCCUUUAAAGCGUGCUUUCUAUGUUACCACUACGUUUAUUGUAGGUUCUAGAUUAUUCUUUUGCCUAGGUGAUUCACGUAGCACAUAGAGCACAUAAAUCCCCACCCCCAAGCAGUCCCAAAAUUUAUUAUUACAUGAUAAGAGGUUUACAAAAGUUGUUACAAUACAAUAAAUUAAUAAGAAAUGAAUAAAUGAAUAAAUAAAAGGGAAUGAACUACCCUAUUUUCCCAUAAACUACCAGCGACUCUUUGAAUCCCUCCGCAUCCCUAAUUAUACCUGUUUGGCAUGAAUAAAGUAGCACAAAGGAAAAAGAGCGAAUACCCCUUACGUUGCUUCGAAAACACAGAAACAAGGAAAGCAAGGCAUAACAAAUGAAGUACAAAUAACAGAGAUCCUAAAGGCGUGUUUUGUAGCAUCACUAUAUAAGGUAUUAAAAUUGCAAUGAAAGGAACUUAUCGGUUGACGAUAAUAAGCAAUAAUAAGAAAACCAAACUGAAUUACCACAGAUAAAUGAAGAUCAAUUCUCCAAAAAUGAGUGCGAUUCAAGAAUAAUAAAGUAAUUUCCUCUAGUUUUAAGAGCAACGCUUAAAGCUUUUUCAUAUGAAAAAUAUAGUGUUUAAAGAGUACAGAGAAUGUUUGCAAUGUUUUAAAGCGUGCCUAAGGAAAUAAGAAGAGAUUGUUUAUAUAAAAUAAAAAGGGGGAAUGGAGGAUCUGAAUAGAAAAAGGAAAGAAAAUAUUUUAACCCCUCAGUCAAGGAAAAAUCUUCCUUAAAUCCAUGGCUGAUUCAAUUAGGUCAGCAAAUCAUGCAAAUUCCAAAAAAUAAGGAAAACGAGGAUUGGGGCAAUCAAUCAAAACUCCCUUAAUUAGCACCGAAUCAAGAGAUACAAUAAUAAUCUAUUCACACAUUUAUAAUGCAUAUUGAACUUCCAUAAAUAAACAAGUGAAAUUAUUAUGACUUAAUACAAUAAAACACUGAUAAUAGAAACGCUCCCAUGUUAAACAUUACGGAUUGCGAUUAUUCAAAAAAUAAACCUCCGACCAUGAUACAAAUCACAAGGAGAUCAAAUCACGGGAAUCAAAUUAGCACUUAAUUGUUAUGAACCAUAUUUUAAAUUCAACUAAAAAUUUUGAUCUUUAUGGCAGAGAUUGCUCCUAAUUCAAGAAAACCAAAAUAAUCCACAAACAAUCAACAAACAGUAGUAAGAUCGGUAAAUAAACAUGAUUAAGUCAUAAUUCAAAAUUGUGUAUUGUCAAUUAAAAGACCGACCAAAAGAAAAUGAGGAUACUCAAACCAGAAACUCAAUCGGGAAGGAAAACCUGAGACGAAUUUUGUAAAUCCGUCAUGCGUUAGUGAUUUCGACAGCAUUUAUCCUAAAAUAAUAGUGGUAGCAACGUGACUUUUCUGUCGGCGAUGAGCGUUGCAUAGUCGGCUGGGACUCACCGGUCAUCAACUCUGGUGAAUACAAGUGAUAAGAGAGAAUAUUGGUAGUGAGAGCCAUAGCAGUGACCGGUGACGACUGGUGUUAUUGCUGUUGCCGCUGUUGGUGGCGUCAGUCGGAACGUGUGGACGAGUUUUCAUCGAGAAUGGGAGAUAGGGCGCCGGCUAUAUGGGGGAGACCUCUUGGUUGAAACAGUGGUUAUUGGGAGCUUCGUUGGCUGAGCGGCGGCCAGUUUUGAUGGAUGGUUGGCCUCCCAUUGAUGGAGUAGUGGGGGUUUACGCCGGCCAUGGUGGAAAAUGGCAUGAGGGAGAAGCCGGCGGCAGUCAAGUGUUGCUGGUCCAUCGGCGGUGGUUGACAUUAUAGAGAGAGAGAGAAGAGAAGGGAGACAGAGCAAAAGGGGAAGGAAAUGCGAAUGUUGGAAAAAUUUUAGGGUUUAGGGUAGUCUGAGGGUGAAAAGGAAAGAAAGAAAGUUUUGGAUCUCAGCCGUUGGAUUAUUUUUUAUCAACAGCUGAGAUCAAAAUGAUCUAAAAAUGUGUUAGAAUUUAAAUUCUAAUUUGAGAUCAAAAAAUUGACAAAAAUUGUCAUUAACUUGAUACAAUAUGGCUAGAA